ACUCCAGACAAAAGUACCAGGGGCAGUACCUUGGCUCCCCUCAUGGGAUGUUUUCUCACUUUCCCUCUCUCUCUGGCAAGUGCAUGUGCCCUAUGGCAAAACUUAAAGAAAUAAAAAGCAUUCACCCCUAAGACUAUCUUCCCUACCAUGUCUGCAUGUCUCAUCCCUGGCAUGCAUCGGCCUAUGGUCCAUCUGUCCCCAGGAAAGCUCCACACAAGGGCCUUGGUUUUUUUUUCCUGCUGCAUCUCAGAACCUGAACCAGUGCCUGGGACCGGCAUUCAGCAAACACCUGCAGGCUGGAGGAACGCAUGAAUGCCCAUGCUGAUGGGUGGCAAGAGGUGGGCUGGACACAAGCUGGGGCCGGACAGCAGGACUGAGGUGCUGCCCAGGGCGGGCAGUGAGAGAAGCCACCACCCUCUUCCCAAACUCUCAGGCCAAAGUGCCAUCCCAUCCCUCGGUCUGCCCACAGCUGAGAGGGGUGUCUGCUGCCAAGGCCGCUCAUACCAGCCCAUCUGCUGGAGGACACCGAGGCUCUGAGAGCAGAGGUGACAUACUGCGCAGUAGGCAAACCUCUGCUACCGCACUGCCACCAUCACCGUCAUUGCCUGGAAAUCACCUUCCCCGAGUGUCUCCUGAAUAAUUAGGGCAGCCUGGGGGACUACCUCCUGCAGACCAAUCUCACGGAUGCCUUGGCCAUGUGACCAGAAGAUUCGAGACAGCCCCCAACUCCUGCAACAUCAGCAUCCCACCAGCCCUGUGACAGUGCUCUCCGCACUCUGCCUGCGUCCUGAGGGACCCCCACAUCCUGGAGGGCACACACACCUCGUUCCUCUAGCCCUGGGCCCUGUCAGCCCAUCUUCCUUCGUACAUAUUUGGUCCUAAUCAUUGUAUGUCUAGGACAGAAAGGAAACCCUGAGUUCUAUGUGACCAAGAUAGGAAGAUGGAGCAUCCGAAACUUG
Tupaia belangeri chinensis (Chinese tree shrew) is the source of this 959-nucleotide long non-coding RNA. RefSeq lists it as uncharacterized. The record is from RefSeq and is a predicted model, not a curated record. The transcript has 3 exons. Lineage: Eukaryota; Metazoa; Chordata; Mammalia; Scandentia; Tupaiidae.